GCCUACGGGGGGCAGCAGUAGGGAAUCUUCCACAAUGGGCGAAAGCCUGAUGGAGCAACGCCGCGUGGAUGAAGAAGGUCUUCGGAUCGUAAAACCCUGUUGUUAGAGAAGAAAGUGCGUGAGAGUAACUGUUCACGUUUCGACGGUAUCUAACCAGAAAGCCACGGCUAACUACGUGCCAGCAGCCGCGGUAAUACGUAGGUGGCAAGCGUUAUCCGGAUUUAUUGGGCGUAAAGGGAACGCAGGCGGUCUUUUAAGUCUGAUGUGAAAGCCUUCGGCUUAACCGGAGUAGUGCAUUGGAAACU
RNAcentral lists this ribosomal RNA (305 nucleotides) under uncultured bacterium. Its description in RNAcentral is "bacterial SSU rRNA". It matches the Rfam family "Bacterial small subunit ribosomal RNA", at positions 337 to 634 of the family's 1533-position model. The record is from RNAcentral.